This 80-nucleotide microRNA precursor is filed under the name Eptesicus fuscus (big brown bat). RNAcentral describes it as "microRNA efu-mir-128b precursor". Its record names the gene efu-mir-128b. It matches the Rfam family "mir-128 microRNA precursor family". The record is from miRBase by way of RNAcentral. Lineage: Eukaryota; Metazoa; Chordata; Mammalia; Chiroptera; Vespertilionidae.
AGCUGUUGGAUUCGGGGCCGUAGCACUGUCUGAGAGGUUUACAUUUCUCACAGUGAACCGGUCUCUUUUUCAGCUGCUUC